GAAAUGCGAUACUAAUGUGAAUUGCAGAAUUCAGCGAACCAUCGAAUCUUUGAACGCACAUUGCGCCCGCCAGCAUUCUGGCGGGCAUGCCUGUCCGAGCGUCAUUUCCCCCCUCACGCGCCCCGUUGCGCGCUGGUGUUGGGGCGCCCUCCGCCUGGC
Molecule: ribosomal RNA, 159 nt
Filed under: Sporothrix schenckii
Lineage: Eukaryota; Fungi; Ascomycota; Sordariomycetes; Ophiostomatales; Ophiostomataceae
Description: partial 5.8S ribosomal RNA
Rfam family: 5.8S ribosomal RNA (bases 1-104)
About the family: 5.8S ribosomal RNA (5.8S rRNA) is a component of the large subunit of the eukaryotic ribosome. It is transcribed by RNA polymerase I as part of the 45S precursor that also contains 18S and 28S rRNA.
Source: RNAcentral